UACGUAGGGCGCAAGCGUUGUCCGGAAUUAUUGGGCGUAAAGAGCUCGUAGGCGGUCUGUCGCGUCCGUUGUGAAAACUCGAGGCUCAACCUCGGGCUUGCAGUGGAUACGGGCAGACUAGAGUGCGGUAGGGGAGACUGGAAUUCCUGGUGUAGCGGUGGAAUGCGCAGAUAUCGGGAGGAACACCGGUGGCGAAGGCGGAUCUCUGGGCCUUACCUGACGCUGAGGUGCGAAAGCGUGGGGAGCGAACAGG
This 253-nucleotide ribosomal RNA is filed under the name uncultured bacterium. RNAcentral describes it as "partial 16S ribosomal RNA". It matches the Rfam family "Bacterial small subunit ribosomal RNA", at positions 524 to 776 of the family's 1533-position model. The record is from RNAcentral.